GAGUUUGAUCAAUGGCUCAGAACGAACGCUNGCGGCAUGCCUAACNCAUGCAAGUCGAACGAUGCUUUGGGGNAUAGUGGCGCANGNGUGCGUAACGCGUNGGAAUCUGCCCUNGGGUUCGGAAUAACAGUNAGAAAUGACUGCUANUNCCNGAUGANGUCGAUAAGACCAAAGAUUUAUCGCCUGAGGAUGAGCCCGCGUNGGAUUAGCUAGUUGGUGUGGUAAAGGCGCACCAAGGCGACGAUCCUUAGCUGGUCUGAGAGGAUGAUCAGCCACACUGGGANUGAGACACGGCCCAGACUCCUACGGGGCGCAGCAGA
RNAcentral lists this ribosomal RNA (320 nucleotides) under uncultured bacterium. RNAcentral describes it as "partial 16S ribosomal RNA". It matches the Rfam family "Bacterial small subunit ribosomal RNA", at positions 9 to 355 of the family's 1533-position model. The record is from RNAcentral.